AUUGAACGCUGGCGGCAUGCCUUACACAUGCAAGUCGAACGGCAGCACGGGAGCAAUCCUGGUGGCGAGUGGCGAACGGGUGAGUAAUGUAUCGGAACGUACCUUUCAGUGGGGGAUAACGUAGCGAAAGUUACGCUAAUACCGCAUAUUCUGUGAGCAGGAAAGCAGGGGAUCGCAAGACCUUGCGCUGAUUGAGCGGCCGAUAUCAGAUUAGCUAGUUGGUGAGGUAAAGGCUCACCAAGGCGACGAUCUGUAGCGGGUCUGAGAGGAUGAUCCGCCACACUGGAACUGAGACACGGUCCAGACUCCUACGGGAGGCAGCAGUGGGGAAUUUUGGACAAUAGGCGGAAGACCUGAUCCAGCCAUUCGUCGUGAGUGAAGAAGGA
RNAcentral lists this ribosomal RNA (386 nucleotides) under uncultured bacterium. Its description in RNAcentral is "bacterial SSU rRNA". It matches the Rfam family "Bacterial small subunit ribosomal RNA", at positions 30 to 415 of the family's 1533-position model. The record is from RNAcentral.